RNAcentral lists this long non-coding RNA (256 nucleotides) under Astyanax mexicanus (Mexican tetra). RNAcentral's name for it is "lncRNA (ENSAMXG00005011101.1)". The record is from RNAcentral. Lineage: Eukaryota; Metazoa; Chordata; Actinopteri; Characiformes; Acestrorhamphidae.
CCCACUUGUAGCAGAUUGCAGGAACCACACAACUUAAACAAAAACACUGUCGACUGAACAGGUACAAAAGGACGCCAUGCGCAAAACGUGAGGAGAAAGAUGGGAACAGUGUUUGGAGAAUGAAAGACCACACACACACACACACACACACACACACACUUACAAAGCAGGUCCUCAACAAAAGGCUCCCCUAAAUUGACUAUUGAUCUGCAAAGCUAAAGGAUUCACCCCGUUUAUGUAGAAGAGACAGUUAGAG